Molecule: long non-coding RNA, 1969 nt
Organism: Vitis riparia (riverbank grape)
Lineage: Eukaryota; Viridiplantae; Streptophyta; Magnoliopsida; Vitales; Vitaceae
Exons: 2
Source: RefSeq, a predicted model, not a curated record
UAAAUUUUCCUUACAUUUCUUCUUUUUUGUAAAUGUUCCUGCCAUAUGCUUGCUUUUCAUUUUAACUGCCACCUGCUUCAACCAAAGUCUCAAGUAUUUAACACCAUGAAUAUAUGAAGGAUAAACAAGAACCCCAAAAUGGGGAAAAUCUGAUAUAAAUAAAUAUUUGAUAGCAAUCUUAAAAAGUAAUAUCCUUCCUUUGAUUUUCUUAUGGAUCCCCCGGAUUUUACCUGCCAACAUGAAUCUAUGUUGAAAGAAACUUGCUUCCAGUGGAGUGCUCCUGCCAUCAACAUUUCCACAACCGCAAAAAUCAGAUGUUUUGGAAGGCUUCUUGUGUUGGGUGGCCAAGACUUCAGGCGAUGCCGCAUUUGAUGCAGCAAGUGCCGCAACAGCAGCAGCAACCCCUGCAACGGAUACUGCUGCAUGCAACUGGGCAUUGUGAGUUCUAAUCUCCUGCUUCUUCCUCUCCUUUUGAUCUUUCAACCAUCUCCCAAAUGUUUUCCCUCUCAUUAUGCUUUUAUAUAGCUGCAAAAAGAACAUUAAUGAGGAUGAUGAAGAUAAUAACAAUGAUCAGAUCAAAUAAUGACUAAAUCAAGAUACCCCAUUUCUGAGUAACUGUUGAUUUGAUAGGAAAUCCGGGUUUAGCGCCUGAUGAAGUAGAAAUAAUUCCUGCACCGAUGAAACAAGUUCAAAUCCAAUUUGUACUAUGAAAGCAGCUAUGUCUACUAGUGUUUUUGUGAAAUAAAAAGUAAUUUCCAGAAGUAAAAUUUUGAUGUGCCUGUACACUUUGAAACAGAGUUACCUUCAUGUCAUCACUAUCCCUAGGAGAAAUUGGAGGGCUACCCCCACCUGGUAAUUGUUGAAUAAUCUGUGACACAAGAUUAUAAAGAUUAUAGUUGAAAAGUAGCUCUAUCUUUGUCUCUGUUCAAACAAGCUAUCUAACUCAAUAGAGAAUUAUGGUCAAGAUAAAGAUAUUACAGCUUCCUCUGAAGCCACAGAACUUGCAACAUGAAUUUCAGCUUCAUUGCCAACCGAACAGAAGGCGGAGUACUUGUCCAGGUUGUCAGCUGCAAGAGCCUUAGCGAGCUCCAUGGCCGAGAGGCUCCAUGAUCUAGCAAGAAACUCCAUGGACUCAAUGGGAGUUUCCGGUGGUGCACAUGUCUCCGGCAGCCAACUCGCAGGCCCAUCUUCCUCGAUGUUUUCCAGACGACGUGAAGGGCAUUUGAAGCCUCCGCAGGAGCCCACAGACACUGCAACAGUUGCACCAAGAAAGGAAAAAAACAAAUCAGUAUCUUAUAGUCAUUGCAGGUAGCUCAGAAUCACAAAAAGCAUACUCCUAAAAUAUGUUACUUGUCAGAAUGAUGCUCUGCUUCAAGUAGAGUUGAACAUGAAAGCAACAACCAAGAUGAUGAGAAGAGGAAGGAGGAGACUAUGGUAUUUAACAAUGGGGGGUUGGUUCUCAAAGGUGGAAGUUUGUUUAGUGUAGGGAAAAGGGAAAGAUAAAAGGAGAGAAAGUGGAGGCAUAUUAUUCUGCGUACUAUAUGACAGGACCCCAUUAAAGGUCUCUCAUCUUUGUCCUCAACUUCCAGUCGUUUUUUUUCUUUUGUUUCUCUACUCUUUUGGUGCUUUAUACAUAAAGAGCUAAAGAACAUUUUUUGAGCGGCGGGUUUCAUCAUGACUUGGCCUUCCUUUGCCACUAUUUCUACGGUCUAAAGCAAGAAAAAAAAGGGCCCUUCUGCACCCCUGUAUAUAAUCCUCCGGAUUGUAGCCAAAUGGUACCCAAGAAUUGUAAACUUGUGGAUGUGCCAAGACCAUGGUUGAUUGGGCUUGGCGAAAUUUUCUUUUGCCUGCCUCAUCUGGAUGACCCAUUUGACUCGGUCCAACUGAAAGGAAUGGAAUAUUUUUUGUCUUUUACCAAAAGAAUAUGGAAAUAUGGGAAAUUGAUAACAUAAUCACCCUUUUUGUACAA